This 508-nucleotide long non-coding RNA is filed under the name Mytilus galloprovincialis (Mediterranean mussel). The record is from RNAcentral. Lineage: Eukaryota; Metazoa; Mollusca; Bivalvia; Mytilida; Mytilidae.
CCGCUUUUCAUUUACUGCAUCUGAGAACAAAGUCCAAAGUUAGAAAAGGUGAUUUACAACACAGUUUGUUAUUGUUUGUUUUAACAUUCUGUAUACUAACUGAUUAGGUAAGGUGUAUGAUGGAAGAGUGCUCCUCAAGAUUACCACAUAAAGAUAAAUUUGGUCAAUUAUUACAUAGGCAGAUAAGUAUAAAAGGAACAUGAAAAGAUUUUAAAAAAUGAAACAUAUGUAUUCAAUCAGUCUAUAAAAUAUAUUUUAGAGUAAAAGCACGGACGUCGGUGAUUGAAUCCAUUAUGCCCGCGUCACACUGUCCCGAUUUUUAUAUACGAUGGACACCCGAAUGCGAAAAUUGUAAGUUCGUACGAAGUUGGUCCCGAUCUCGUUCAAAUACCAAAAAGUGACCGAAGCAAGUACGAUGAAUAACGAAGUCUAUACGAGGGUGCCGAAAGUAUAUACGAUAGCAAAAGAUGGACAUACGAAGGUUAACCGAAGACGGUAUUUAAGCUUC